RNAcentral lists this ribosomal RNA (541 nucleotides) under Trichoderma sinense. RNAcentral's name for it is "eukaryotic LSU rRNA". The stretch from base 174 to 327 matches the Rfam family "5.8S ribosomal RNA". The record is from RNAcentral. Lineage: Eukaryota; Fungi; Ascomycota; Sordariomycetes; Hypocreales; Hypocreaceae.
GAACGUUACCAAACUGUUGCCUCGGCGGGAUCUCUGCCCCGGGUGCGUCGCAGCCCCGGACCAAGGCGCCCGCCGGAGGACCAACCAAAACUCUUAUUGUAUACCCCCUCGCGGGUUUUUUUAUAAUCUGAGCCUUCUCGGCGCCUCUCGUAGGCGUUUCGAAAAUGAAUCAAAACUUUCAACAACGGAUCUCUUGGUUCUGGCAUCGAUGAAGAACGCAGCGAAAUGCGAUAAGUAAUGUGAAUUGCAGAAUUCAGUGAAUCAUCGAAUCUUUGAACGCACAUUGCGCCCGCCAGUAUUCUGGCGGGCAUGCCUGUCCGAGCGUCAUUUCAACCCUCGAACCCCUCCGGGGGGUCGGCGUUGGGGAUCGGCCCUGCCUUUUGGCGGUGGCCGUCUCCGAAAUACAGUGGCGGUCUCGCCGCAGCCUCUCCUGCGCAGUAGUUUGCACACUCGCAUCGGGAGCGCGGCGCGUCCACAGCCGUUAAACACCCAACUUCUGAAAUGUUGACCUCGGAUCAGGUAGGAAUACCCUGAAACUUAA